GCAAACUUGGUCAUUUAGAGGAAGUAAAAGUCGUAACAAGGUUUCCGUAGGUGAACCUGCGGAAGGAUCAUCGCCAAACUCUGCAAAUCAUCUGGUGGUUACACCGCUCUCAACUCGAGAGCACCGUCCCCAAUGAUUUCUUUGUCAACCAGUUGCACUUUGUUAAUGCCCUUUGGUUUAGUCUUGUCUCUCCGGAGCAGGCUAGGCCGCCUUUUUACAACUAAACUCUGCAUUCAUUUGCCCAGUUAACACAACCCACAAUCACACUUACAAAACAAAUUACAACUUUCAGCAACGGAUCUCUAGGCUCUCGCAUCGAUGAAGAACGCAGC
RNAcentral lists this unclassified non-coding RNA (332 nucleotides) under uncultured fungus. RNAcentral's name for it is "partial contains small subunit ribosomal RNA, internal transcribed spacer 1, and 5.8S ribosomal RNA". The stretch from base 1 to 73 matches the Rfam family "Eukaryotic small subunit ribosomal RNA", at positions 1759 to 1831 of the family's 1831-position model. The record is from RNAcentral. Lineage: Eukaryota; Fungi.